This 236-nucleotide ribosomal RNA is filed under the name uncultured Bacillota bacterium. Its description in RNAcentral is "uncultured Firmicutes bacterium partial 16S ribosomal RNA". It matches the Rfam family "Bacterial small subunit ribosomal RNA", at positions 97 to 334 of the family's 1533-position model. The record is from RNAcentral. Lineage: Bacteria; Bacillati; Bacillota.
GGCGGACGGGUGAGUAACGCGUGGGUAACCUGCCUUGUACUGGGGGACAACAGUUAGAAAUGACUGCUAAUACCGCAUAAGCGCACAGUAUCGCAUGAUACAGUGUGAAAAACUCCGGUGGUACAAGAUGGACCCGCGUCUGAUUAGCUAGUUGGCGGGUAACGGCCCACCAAGGCGACGAUCAGUAGCCGACCUGAGAGGGUGACCGGCCACAUUGGGACUGAGACACGGCCCAA